RNAcentral lists this ribosomal RNA (440 nucleotides) under uncultured bacterium. RNAcentral describes it as "partial 16S ribosomal RNA". It matches the Rfam family "Bacterial small subunit ribosomal RNA", at positions 338 to 795 of the family's 1533-position model. The record is from RNAcentral.
CCUACGGGAGGCAGCAGUGGGGAAUAUUGCACAAUGGGGGAAACCCUGAUGCAGCGACGCCGCGUGAGUGAAGAAGUAUUUCGGUAUGUAAAGCUCUAUCAGCAGGGAAGAAAAUGACGGUACCUGAUUAAGAAGCCCCGGCUAACUACGUGCCAGCAGCCGCGGUAAGACGUAGGGGGCAAGCGUUAUCCGGAUUGUCUGGGUGUAAAGGGAGCGUAGACGGCAGCACAAGUCUGGAGUGAAAUGCCGGGGCUUAACCCCGGAACUGCUUUGGAAACUGUGCAGCUAGAGUGCAGGAGAGGUAAGUGGAAUUCCUAGUGUAGCGGUGAAGUGCAUAGAUAUUAGGAGGAACACCAGUGGCGAAGGCGGCUUACUGGACUGUAACUGACGUUGAGGCUCGACAGCGUGGGGAGCAAACAGGAUUAGAUACCCUAGUAGUC